AUUGAACGCUGGCGGCAUGCCUUACACAUGCAAGUCGAACGGCAGCACGGGAGCAAUCCUGGUGGCGAGUGGCGAACGUGUGAGUAAUACAUCGGAACGUGCCCAGUAGUGGGGGAUAACCCGGCGAAAGCCGGACUAAUACCGCGUACGACCUACGGGUGAAAGCAGGGGAUCGCAAGACCUUGCGCUAUCGGAGCGGCCGAUGUCAGAUUAGCUAGUUGGGGGGUAAAGGCCUACCAAGGCGACGAUCUGUAGCUGGUCUGAGAGGACGACCAGCCACACUGGGACUGAGACACGGCCCAGACUCCUACGGGAGGCAGCAGUGGGGAAUUUUGGACAAUGGGCGCAAGCCUGAUCCAGCCAUGCCGCGUGCGGGAAGAAGGCCU
This 386-nucleotide ribosomal RNA is filed under the name uncultured bacterium. RNAcentral describes it as "bacterial SSU rRNA". It matches the Rfam family "Bacterial small subunit ribosomal RNA", at positions 29 to 417 of the family's 1533-position model. The record is from RNAcentral.